This is a non-coding RNA of Lolium perenne, 912 nucleotides long. The record is from RefSeq and is a predicted model, not a curated record. NCBI's taxonomy places the organism in Eukaryota, Viridiplantae, Streptophyta, Magnoliopsida, Poales, Poaceae.
UGGGUCCGUAUCGGAGUACGGCCGAACUUCGUCACGGGUAGCUUAGUUGGGUGGCUCCCAUUAAACUUUCUCUUGCAUUGGGAACGGUCUUGAUGUGAGACUCCACCUGUAGUAAGUGGGUUCAAGCAUGCGUAUGGUUACAUUUGGGCAACCCCUGCAGGGUGUACAUCUUAUCGAUAAGCCGUGUCCGCGGUUAUGGACGACUUGGAAUUGUAUGGCUUGAUCAUAGAACAACUUACACCUUAUACUUGUUGCUAAUAAUUUUGCUAAUAACUUGUGUAGUAAUAUAGCAUUACCACAACCAAUAUCUAUAAAAUUUGUCAACCGUUGAGUGCCUUUUACAUUGCCUCUUCGCCUUGUUGAAGGGGAUAUGUGUAUUUGGCUGGGUUAUGCCUGUAGUAGUAUCUAGUUCGAUCCUUGUAUGCGCUCUCUUACCUUCUCUAAAUAGACGGAAGUUGUAGCGUGUCUCUAUAAGUAUUAGUACAAGUUUUGCUGCCGCUAAACCCACCAUAUAGCCCGGCGAGCAUAGCCUAGUUCCAGUCUCGCUGAGUACACGUGCUUUGGUACUCACGCUCUGCUUUCUAUCUAUCUUUCGGCAACCGUUGGCCCGACUUGCAGGUACGUUUGCUUGCGAGUAUCCGACAGGAGGAUACUACGUGGAGUACGAUGAUGAGGAUGUUUCCGGUCCGCAGUGAGAGUUCCUUAGCAGCGACCUGAGAUCCGUGGAUAUGGGCAUCGUCUGAUUUAUGGUCUUGGCAUCUUAUGCCUAUUUGCAUCUUGUCUGUACUCAGACUCUAUAUUCGCUUCCGCAUGAUGUAUGAUGUAUUGUUGGGAUAUGUAUCCUAUGAGUGUCAUUUGCUAUCUUGCUCAUUAGAGCGUUGCUAUAUAAACUUAUUUCCAUCUUUUGUGUCA